UGGCGAACGGGUGAGUAACACGUGAGUAACCUGCCCUUGACUUUGGGAUAACUUCAGGAAACUGGGGCUAAUACCGGAUAGGAGCUCCUGCUGCAUGGUGGGGUUGGAAAGUUUCGGCGGUUGGGGAUGGACUCGCGGCUUAUCAGCUUGUUGGUGGGGUAGUGGCUUACCAAGGCUUUGACGGGUAGCCGGCCUGAGAGGGUGACCGGCCACAUUGGGACUGAGAUACGGCCCAG
RNAcentral lists this ribosomal RNA (236 nucleotides) under uncultured Actinomycetales bacterium. RNAcentral's name for it is "partial 16S ribosomal RNA". It matches the Rfam family "Bacterial small subunit ribosomal RNA", at positions 96 to 334 of the family's 1533-position model. The record is from RNAcentral. Lineage: Bacteria; Bacillati; Actinomycetota; Actinomycetes; Actinomycetales.